GUCGGGUUAGCUCAGUUGGGAGAGCGUUGCACUGAAGAUGCAAAGGUCGGGUGUUCAAUCCACCCACACGACA
This 73-nucleotide transfer RNA is filed under the name Moelleriella libera RCEF 2490. RNAcentral describes it as "Aschersonia aleyrodis RCEF 2490 tRNA". It matches the Rfam family "tRNA". Rfam says of the family: Transfer RNA (tRNA) molecules are approximately 80 nucleotides in length. Their secondary structure includes four short double-helical elements and three loops (D, anti-codon, and T loops). The record is from Rfam by way of RNAcentral. Lineage: Eukaryota; Fungi; Ascomycota; Sordariomycetes; Hypocreales; Clavicipitaceae.